GCCCAUCCACGCUCGGGUGCACAUCCGAUGCGGACAUUGGCCCUUCGAGCCGGGAGGCGCGAUGGGCUUAAGUGUGACGGUCGUUGGCUGAGGCCGGGAGCGACGAGUGGUGGGCUACUAGCGCGAGUCGUUCCCGGGUCUCACGUCGACGGAUGGCCUGCACGGACCCCAAAUGAGAUCCAGUCGCUCGCAGCUUGACGUUGCGCGGCAUGAUCGGACU
This 220-nucleotide unclassified non-coding RNA is filed under the name Bulbostylis densa. Lineage: Eukaryota; Viridiplantae; Streptophyta; Magnoliopsida; Poales; Cyperaceae. The record is from RNAcentral.